GACGAACGCUGGCGGCGUGCCUAAUACAUGCAAGUCGAACGCACGAAGUUGAAGAGCUUGCUCUUUAACCAAGUGAGUGGCGGACGGGUGAGUAACACGUGGGUAACCUGCCCAUUAGAGGGGGAUAACAUUCGGAAACGGAUGCUAAUACCGCAUAGUUUCAGGAAUCGCAUGAUUCUUGAAGGAAAGGUGGCUUCGGCUACCACUAAUGGAUGGACCCGCGGCGUAUUAGCUAGUUGGUGAGGUAAUGGCUCACCAAGGCAAUGAUACGUGGCCGACCUGAGAGGGUGAUCGGCCACACUGGGACUGAGACACGGCCCAGAAUCCUACGGGAGGCAGCAGUAGGGAAUCUUCCGCAAUGGACGAAAGUCUGACGGAGCAACGCCGCGUGAGUGAAGAAGGUUUUCGGAUCGUAAAACUCUGUUGUUAAAGAAGAACAAGGAUGAGAGUAACUGCUCAUCCCCUGACGGUAUUUAACCAGAAAGCCACGGCUAACUACGUGCCAGCAGCCGCCGCCG
Molecule: ribosomal RNA, 518 nt
Filed under: uncultured bacterium
Lineage: Bacteria
Description: partial 16S ribosomal RNA
Rfam family: Bacterial small subunit ribosomal RNA
Source: RNAcentral